This is a long non-coding RNA of Anser cygnoides (Swan goose), 2901 nucleotides long. Lineage: Eukaryota; Metazoa; Chordata; Aves; Anseriformes; Anatidae. The record is from Ensembl.
AUGGAGGAGGGAAUGCUGGAAGCUAAGCAAAGAGCUAUACGAGGAAACUUUAUUUUACUUUUUUUUUUUUUCAAAAGUUUCCUCAGUACACAAACCUUAUUUAUAGACAGUAAGAAGAAGGGAUUAUCCCAUGAACUGAGAUAUUUUAAUAUGAAGAGAAGUCCAGCAAUGCCCAUGAGGUUCCCUGUCCUUUUUUGUUUGCUUUUACAGGGGUUAGCUUUAUGUCUGAUGGUUAUGUUUGUUUGGUGCACCUGUCCAAGUGGAGUUUCGAAGAGCUGCUGUGGCCUAACAAGGAGAUAGGCAGGUGAGGCACGAGCGGGUAGAGAGCGGAUCGUGUGUUUAGUAAACAGGGAAAGUAGGGCAGAAAGAGCUGAGCAAACAGGCCAGGGUCAGAUUCCCUCAGGAGGUGAGGGACGGGAUGAGGGCGCAGGGACUGUAGGGCCUUGCAGGGCGUGACCUGAUGCACAGACCGCAGUGCUCCUCCGUUUUCAGAGGGUGCCACUGAAACGCACCCGAAUGAUGUGGGUUUUGAUACGACAGCGUGCGGUGGAAUUUCUGGAAGCACCCGAGGGUAUUCUUGCUUAGGCUGUGGACGCUGUGAGUCAGAGCUGCAAAGACUUUGCUUUAAUCUGGCUCCGUGGCCUGGCCGAGCACCCUCACAGCACCUCUCUCUUUCUCUCCUGACCUCUGACAGAGCUCCCAAAACAUUUUGACUAGGCCAGACACCAAAGCUCCAGCUCUGAUUUUUUUUCCUUCUCUUUCAUCCUUGGUAAAGAAGCAGCAUUUAUUAACGCAGGCUUCUGAUUGUGCGAAGCAGAGCUGUACGAAAUAACCGCAUGGAAGCAGCAACACACCAUGUGCGGUGUUGAUGCUCAAGCAGCGGCUCUGACUAUGUGAGAGACUUGGGACAAGCACUUUUCUUGGCAGGAGAGUCCACCCUACUUGCUGUUGUGAGGCUUGGUGACUCAAGGACCAGAGAAUGUUCUUUCAAUGCCAAGGUAAGGAUGAAUGUUACUCAUGUCCUAAAAAGAGCACAAGCCCUUCCUUUCAGGGGAGGUGAGUGUCUGAGCACGCACGUGCUUUGAUCUUUAUUGCUCCAAGCAGAAAACGUUCUCCAGAAGCUGGCGGAUACAGAGACAAGCAGGGAUGGCAGGAAGGACAAAAAAGGGCACGUGAAGCUGGAGUCCAGAAAGUGAGAAGUGCGAGUCAAGGCAGCUAAAGACAAAAGCAUGAUCCUAAAUGUCUCUCGUCAUCAGGUCAGGAUAUCCAUCCUGCUAAAAUGUUGCUCUGUCAUUCCGAUCAGAGGAGAAAAGUUAGCAGAGGUAUGUGUCCGCAGCUCACGUAAGGGUCGUUUUUUCCUUCUCUGAUGCCUUGUAUUUGGGCCCCUGAUGUAAACACAAAAAAAACCCCGCUGCAUUUGUGUAUUAGCUCUCUUAUGAAAGUCAUUCCAGAGAAGCAUCGGUGGGUGAACAUUCAUGCAGUACAGCUUCUCCAAGCCUUUCUGCUAGGGCCUAAGGCUCAGUGUGUCUGUGGCUGAGCCCUCCUUGGCAGCAGCCCUCCUGUCCUUUCACAUGGCAUCUGUAGAGACUGACAGUGUGCAGUGCGCUGUGAGGCUGCGGGCAGCGUAACAAAACAGAAUAAGGCACCAGCUAGGAGAGGUGACUUUGUUUUGCAACAAAAUUAUUUCAUUUCCUCACACUUGUCCUUCCAUAUUCAUAAGCACCAGGACGCUUGAACUUCCUGUGGUGACACGGCAGAUGAGUUCCCAUCACGUGUCCUGAGUGUCCUGGGUUUGCCUGACAGGCAGAUGCGGUGUUUGGAUGUGUCUUUUGUGCUGUUUUGGAGUUUCCAGUAGUUUUCAUCUUUUGUGCGUUCAUCUUGCCCCACUGCUGUAAGUCAUCGGGCAACAGUGCGCUUUCCAUAGGCACUGGUGGCUUAAGUCACAGGGACCCUUCUUCCUUUUGGCUACAGCGUUGUAGUUUGUUCUGUCUUCUUCUUAGAUGCAAUCUAAGGGCAUUGGCUUUGAUGAAUCCUUACCUGUUACGGGUUUUUCUUUGGAGGCCAGAAGACACCUACAGGAAUACAGGAUAAAAUUGUGAAGCUGGUUGUUAGGAUAAAAAUCCCAAUUCUUUCAAAGUCCUAGGAAAAAAAAAGUAAUGCAAAGAGGAAAAUUGCAGACAUCAGCCCGACCGUCUUUAAGGACAUGGUGGUAGUACAGAGGUUGCUUCCACAAAGACAAAAAGACCACCGAGACCGAUCGCUCUUGCAACUAAGAAUUUUUGCCCAAGUGAUGGGAGAGAUGGCUCAGUCCCAGAAUUGUGGUGAAUUGGGUUUGGGGCUCUGGAGGCAGUAUUUAGAAAAUGUGGAUCAUUAUAGAACUGUUUUCUAAAUUAAAAACUGGCCUAAGGAAUAUAUAGGUUUUGAGGCCUUCUGCCUGUGGCUGAAUUUUGCUUGUCAUGAUGCCAUGUAAGCAGCGAUAUUUGUAAGUUAUUUUAAAGGCAACUUCUCAGUAAAUAUGUAUUCAUUAUUUCUCUUACAACAGGAAAUUAUUUAGGUUUAUUACUGGAGUUAAUGCCAAAAUUAAUUCUUGUUUUCACAAGUUUUGCUCUCUAUGCUUAAUUGAAUACAUCUGCAGUAUGACAACAACAAAAAAAUCAAAUAGAUAAUAUAAUAUCAUCAAUGUUUAGGAAGGAUAAUGCAAUUUCUGUGAAGUCAUUUGCACUGAAAUUAAUUACAGUGACAGACACUGGAGUUCAAUACUAAGUUAAUUAAUAUUGAAUACGUACAACAUUUAUGAUGAUUUAAGAGUGAAGGUGAUAAAACUGAUAUUUGGUGAUUAUUAGCGUAGAAACAAAGCAGAAAAGCAAUAAAACAGAAAAACGUGAGGUAAAAGUGGGUGUU